AUCUAUGGCCAUGCUACCCUGAACAAGCCUGAUCUCGUCAGAUCUUGGAAGCUAAGCAGGGUCAGACUUGGUUAGUACUUGGAUGGGAGACCACCUAGGAAGACCAGGUGCUGUAGGCA
RNAcentral lists this ribosomal RNA (119 nucleotides) under Pteropus alecto (black flying fox). The record is from RNAcentral. RNAcentral also lists the same sequence under 1 other name. Lineage: Eukaryota; Metazoa; Chordata; Mammalia; Chiroptera; Pteropodidae.